RNAcentral lists this non-coding RNA (27 nucleotides) under Cricetulus griseus (Chinese hamster). The record is from RNAcentral. Lineage: Eukaryota; Metazoa; Chordata; Mammalia; Rodentia; Cricetidae.
UAUAGAUGGUUGUGAGUCAGAAUGUGG